This 418-nucleotide ribosomal RNA is filed under the name uncultured Actinomycetes bacterium. Its description in RNAcentral is "bacterial SSU rRNA". It matches the Rfam family "Bacterial small subunit ribosomal RNA", at positions 100 to 536 of the family's 1533-position model. Lineage: Bacteria; Bacillati; Actinomycetota; Actinomycetes. The record is from RNAcentral.
GAACGGGUGCGUAUCACGUGAGCAACCUGCCUCGGAGACCGGGAUAACUCGAGGAAACUCGGGCUAAUACCGGAUGCCCUCGGUGGACCGCAUGGUCCGGCGAGGAAAUGGAUUCCGCUCCGAGAUGGGCUCGCGGCCUAUCAGCUUGUUGGUGGGGUAACGGCCUACCAAGGCAACGACGGGUAGCUGGUCUGAGAGGACGAUCAGCCACACUGGGACUGAGACACGGCCCAGACUCCUACGGGAGGCAGCAGUAGGGAAUCUUGCGCAAUGGGCGAAAGCCUGACGCAGCGACGCCGCGUGCGGGAUGAAGGCCUUCGGGUCGUAAACCGCUUUCAGCAGGGACGAAAUUGACGGUACCUGCAGAAGAAGGCCCGGCCAAGUACGUGCCAGCAGCCGCGGUCAUACGAAUCACUAG